CUAGUCUCUGUGACUUCGUUAUGAUGAAUAAAACGCAGUUAAGACCCAAAAAAAAAAAAAAAAAAACUCAUGAUUUGUUCUUGCAAUCUCACGCUUACAACUUUCUGUACUCGCUGUAUUGCCUACUCGGCUACAUAAUAUUCACUUUGGUUACAUACAUUGGCUAAUGAAUUUUUCAUUAUUUACUUGGGACCAUUUUAACUCAACAACAUACAACACCUGCUGCAAUGAACAUGUCUCGUGUUCAUAUACUUUAUGGAACUGUUUCUAUUUGUAACUGUGCAUACUCUUCCUUCAUUCGGGUCUCGCAUCAUCUGAAACUUCAAAUUGACUCCAGCCGCUCAUCACAUGUUUAAUUUCAAAAUACAUUUGCUAUCGUUUAGUAGCUUUUCUCCCUGACACUAUAUGGUGUGUCAGCUUCUACUCUAGAAGCUUUGCCUGUUUAUAUGAAGAUGCAAGAAGAUGGGUUUUUAAGAACGAAACAAGAGAUUCUGAGCUAAAAAUUUGUUACCUGGCUUUCCCACAGGGUGAAGUACCCCUUUAACAUUGUGCUCCACUCUCUUUUAAUUUGUUCCUCCGGAGUCUGUUNNN
RNAcentral lists this long non-coding RNA (591 nucleotides) under Capsella grandiflora. Its description in RNAcentral is "long non-coding RNA (CGRA_LNC000727)". Lineage: Eukaryota; Viridiplantae; Streptophyta; Magnoliopsida; Brassicales; Brassicaceae. The record is from RNAcentral.